Molecule: ribosomal RNA, 301 nt
Filed under: uncultured bacterium
Lineage: Bacteria
Description: partial 16S ribosomal RNA
Rfam family: Bacterial small subunit ribosomal RNA
Source: RNAcentral
CAGCAGCCACGGGAAUACGUAGGGUGCGAGCGUUAAUCGGAAUUACUGGGCGUAAAGCGUGCGCAGGCGGUUGUGCGAGACAGAUGUGAAAUCCCCGAGCUUAACUUGGGAACUGCAUUUGUGACUGCACGGCUAGAGUGUGUCAGAGGGGGGUAGAAUUCCACGUGUAGCAGUGAAAUGCGUAGAUAUGUGGAGGAAUACCGAUGGCGAAGGCAGCCCCCUGGGAUAACACUGACGCUCAUGCACGAAAGCGUGGGGAGCAAACAGGAUUAGAUACCCCUGUAGUCCCUGUCUCUUAUAC